Molecule: ribosomal RNA, 501 nt
Filed under: uncultured bacterium
Lineage: Bacteria
Description: partial 16S ribosomal RNA
Rfam family: Bacterial small subunit ribosomal RNA
Source: RNAcentral
AUUGAACGCUGGCGGCAGGCUUAACACAUGCAAGUCGAGCGGAGAUGAGGUGCUUGCACCUUAUCUUAGCGGCGGACGGGUGAGUAAUGCUUAGGAAUCUGCCUAUUAGUGGGGGACAACAUUCCGAAAGGAAUGCUAAUACCGCAUACGUCCUACGGGAGAAAGCAGGGGAUCUUCGGACCUUGCGCUAAUAGAUGAGCCUAAGUCGGAUUAGCUAGUUGGUGGGGUAAAGGCCUACCAAGGCGACGAUCUGUAGCGGGUCUGAGAGGAUGAUCCGCCAAACUGGGACUGAGACACGGCCCAGACUCCUACGGGAGGCGGCAGUGGGGAAUAUUGGACAAUGGGGGAAACCCUGAUCCAGCCAUGCCGCGUGUGUGAAGAAGGCCUUAUGGUUGUAAAGCACUUUAAGCGAGGAGGAGGCUACUGAGACUAAUACUCUUGGAUAGUGGACGUUACUCGCAGAAUAAGCACCGGCUAACUCUGUGCCAGCCGCCGCAGUAA